Molecule: RNA transcript, 1164 nt
Organism: Syzygium oleosum
Lineage: Eukaryota; Viridiplantae; Streptophyta; Magnoliopsida; Myrtales; Myrtaceae
Exons: 7
Source: RefSeq, a predicted model, not a curated record
GGAGUUGAGGGAGACGGAGAGGGAGAGGAAGGGAAGGGAAGGGAAGGAGAUGGGGAGAGGAGGGAAGGUGUGCUGCAGAUUGGAUCCACUGGAUUUCGACCCUUCGAGGCUGCGGGUUCGGAAGUUCCUUCGUCGGCAGAUCAAGGUUCGGAUCAUGCUUCCGAUGAGCAUCCGAUGCAACACCUGCGAGAAUCACAUUCGCCAGGGGACCAAGCUUCAUUCCAGGAAGGAGGAAGUCGCCGGCGAGACGGCCUUGGCGGGGGGGAUCAAGAGGUUUAGGUUUUACUUCAAAUGCACCAAGUGCUCUGCUGUCCUCACCAUCAAAACUUAUCAUCCGCCGCAGGAUCCCGAUUACGUGGUGGAGUCCGGGGCGACGAGAAUUUUCGAGCCCCUGACUCCACCGCGUGAUUCUGAGCCCCGGCGUAAGCAGGACGAGGUGGUGGAGAAUGAGAAAAGGAGUAGUGAGGCUGAAGAGAUGGGCGAUGUUAUGAACCCCUUGCAGAACAGUACGUCCGAUUCCAAGAGAGGGAUGGCGCCUGAUGAAUUGAAUUCCACGAAGAAAUCCAAAAAUUUUGUACGUAGGAUCGAAGACGUAGAUUCUGAGGAUGAGGAAGACCUGACUCGACCUUGUGCUAGUUAUGACGAUUCAUUGAACAAUGCUCUCAAGAAGAGAAAAUUUUCCGAGGAAUUUCCGGACGAGCCAACAAGUUCCUUGACAAAAGCUACUACCAGUGACAUCUCGAAUGACAGAGAAGAGGAAAUUUUCUGAGGAAUUUCUGGACAAGCCAACGGAUUCCUUGACAAAAGCUACUUCCAGUGACAUCUUGAGUGACGGAGGAAAUCAUGUCGGGUUCACGGGACCGGAGCGAGAGUAAAUUGUUGUCCAAUUCUUCCUCUGUGCGAAUUGCUGUGGUAAAGAAAGCUGGUCCAACCUCUAGUCCGAGCAUUGCACUCUAGUCUUUAUGUCAAAACUAUGAAAGUAGUGAUGAUGAGGAUUGAACCAUUGGAUACCAUUCGUCUUCUAGCUGUAUUAGCAGUUUUUUUACUCCAUCUCCCCUUAAUUUCUCACUCAAGGAAAAACAAAUGCGACAUGUUUUUUGAUGGGAACUCGGCCUUCAUCUUGCUCCGCGAAGUUUUCCCUUUUGAAAUUUUCUUCUUGGUGCA